Molecule: long non-coding RNA, 572 nt
Filed under: Pogona vitticeps (central bearded dragon)
Lineage: Eukaryota; Metazoa; Chordata; Lepidosauria; Squamata; Agamidae
Description: lncRNA (ENSPVIG00000015935.1)
Source: RNAcentral
AUGGAGAAACGAUGGUCAUCUACACCUGUAGCGUCUGAGCCAGCAUUGAAGGGCAUGAGGAGGUCAGCUUCAGCACCCUACAAGCUUGCGAGGAUUACCGAAUUUUUGACCCUGCAAAAGGAGUUGGGGAUAAAAAUUUUGGUCUACAGCUCCACCAGCAUUGUCCACUUCUGUCUUAGACCAAGCCACUACAUCUCAGGUGACUUUGUUCUACUGAAGUUGGACAGUGCAAACUUAGUUUCACAUUAUAUGACUGGACUAAAUGGUGUACUUUAAAGAAAACCUGUGUAAAAAUCUGGCCUUGUGGACUUUUACUGCCAGAUAAAUAUUCAGUGUGGUAAAUAACUAUCUUGGAAGAGUUAUAAUCUUAGAAUAAUUCUAGAAAUGCAGAGCUGGAAGGGUCAUCAUCAAGUCCAGCCCCUUUCAAGGAAAUCCAGUGGGGAAUCGAACUCCCAGCCUCAGGCUCUUAAACCUCUGAACUCUCUGGCAGUUGACUUGAGUUAUGCUAAGGUUCAUUACCAGAGCUUGAAAAAAGUUACUUUUUCUGAAUAAAACUCAUUGGUGACAACUCA